UACAGAGGUCUCAACCGUUGUUCGGAUUCAUUGGGCGUAAAGGGUGCGUAGGCGGCGGGGUAAGUCAGGUGUGAAAUCUCGGGGCUCAACCCCGAAACUGCACUUGAUACUGCCUCGCUUGAGUACUGGAGAGGAGACUGGAAUUUACGGUGUAGCAGUGAAAUGCGUAGAUAUCGUAAGGAACACCGGUGGCGAAGGCGGCCUUCUGGACACUAACUGACGCUGAGACGCGAAAGCGUGGGGAGCAAACAGG
RNAcentral lists this ribosomal RNA (253 nucleotides) under uncultured bacterium. Its description in RNAcentral is "partial 16S ribosomal RNA". It matches the Rfam family "Bacterial small subunit ribosomal RNA", at positions 524 to 776 of the family's 1533-position model. The record is from RNAcentral.